This 73-nucleotide transfer RNA is filed under the name Sphaerodactylus townsendi. RNAcentral's name for it is "tRNA-Ala". It matches the Rfam family "tRNA". From Rfam's summary of the family: Transfer RNA (tRNA) molecules are approximately 80 nucleotides in length. Lineage: Eukaryota; Metazoa; Chordata; Lepidosauria; Squamata; Sphaerodactylidae. The record is from RNAcentral.
GGGGCCCUGGCUCAGUGGGUAGAGCAUCUGCUUGGCAUGCUGAAGGUUCCAGUUUCAAUACCUGCCAUCUCCA